CCCAGGACUCCUUGACGCCGGAACAGCUUGCGGAGGCACCUGGCGCGGAGGUGUCUUGCUUCCGACGGGUCUAGGCUCCUUGUCCCGUUCCGGUUUCUGUUUCGCGAGUGUGCGGCCCUCGUGUGGAGGAUGGCCGGGAAGUGGCUCAGAAACUGCGACUUGCAGCUGGGAUCAUUGUCCAGCCAUUUUCCAAGGCGGCUAAGGCAAUUAGGGACUGCUUUGUGAUAACAUGCUGAUUUCCAUCCAGACCAUUUCCAACUCUGGAGAUGCCCAGUGUCCCUGCCUGCCAUCUCCACUCACCCAGAGUAGUGCUUGCGGUUAGAAUCUUAUGUUGGAAAUGGAGCCAUCCAGAAGAAGACCA
Heterocephalus glaber (naked mole-rat) is the source of this 361-nucleotide long non-coding RNA. Lineage: Eukaryota; Metazoa; Chordata; Mammalia; Rodentia; Bathyergidae. The record is from Ensembl.